Molecule: unclassified non-coding RNA, 322 nt
Filed under: Leishmania donovani
Lineage: Eukaryota; Euglenozoa; Kinetoplastea; Trypanosomatida; Trypanosomatidae
Description: gene:unknown
Source: RNAcentral
GGACGUGCCCACAGGAUGGGGCUGGCACAUAUCAGCGAGUCAAACACACACACACACACACACACACACACGUCGUGCACCUGGAGAGGUGAGCGUUCUGCUGCGAUUGUGUAGGCGAGUAUGUGUGCGUGUGUUUGGCUGACGGCAAAUUGGCAGAACAUGCAAAGCAAUCGCACUCCUGGUGAUCACGACGGGGCGGCGACGGAUAGACAGUGUGGCGGGCAUACCCGUCAGUGCCUGUCCGUCAGCGCUCCCUCUGUCUGUAUGUGCUGGCGUCUGUGCAUCUUCGUGUGUGUGCUUUCGUGUAACGCGUAUCUGAUAC